Molecule: long non-coding RNA, 865 nt
Filed under: Homo sapiens (human)
Lineage: Eukaryota; Metazoa; Chordata; Mammalia; Primates; Hominidae
Description: long intergenic non-protein coding RNA 1391
Source: RNAcentral
UUUUUCUGCCGUGGUUCGUUCACAAGGCGCGACUGUAGGCAGAGGCUCCCUGUUCUGAAGCUGGCUGUCAGCACUCCCCCAACUGCCGUCUCAAGCAGAGAAAGCAAGGGAGGGAAGCUUCCAGGACCAAGCCCUGGUGGGCAGGUAGCAGCCCACCUCCAGUGAGACGGAGAAGUUGGCCGGGGCCAGCAAUGAAGGACCAGCCUGUCUCCUCCCCGAGAACUGAAAGGCAAAAGGCACCCAAGGCUGGGAAGAGAGCAGCAGCCUCACCAAGUAAGGAAGACAAAAUGAAGCAAUCAGUGAGGGUUUCCUGGGUCUACACAGGGAUUGAAGGAGACACUUCUGGGUGAUGCGAGUGCUGCGCAGCUCAGAACCCUUGGAAGCAUGAGAGGAGGACGAGCCCGGCGGCCUGCCGGUGCGGUGAUGGAGGGCUCUUCGGUAGCCACACUGCGCGCCUCCCACACACACCUUAACAGUCUUGGGGCCCCGGGCCAGCGCUGCAGCCCAAAGAGACCCUGCAGCCGCAUUUUCUCCCAGGCCGUGGCAAACCCUGGCUUCGCCUCCCUUCACCAUGGCUUGUGAGGGCAGGAGGCUCCCGGGGGCCGACUUCCCUGACCUGAAUGAGUCAGGCACCCUUCUUUAUUUUAAGUGGGGGUGUGACCUGAGGAGAUAAAGGAAGGACGACAGACCUGGGGAGUGGGGCCCUGCAGCCUCUUGGGCCCGGAGCGCACUCCUUCUCGCUCCCUCCCCUCACCGGCAGGAUCGGGGGUCUUGAAACUGGAGCCGCUCACCGGCCGGCGGAUGAGAGAUAAAGGAGCCCGGCGGCGCCGAAGCGCUGACCAGCAGACCCGGAUCCGGACUUUCC